CCUACGGGUGGCAGCAGUGAGGAAUAUUGGUCAAUGGACGCAAGUCUGAACCAGCCAUGCCGCGUGCAGGAUGACGGUUCUAUGAGUUGUAAACCGCUUUUGUACGGGGGUAAACGCCGCUACGUGUAUCUUUCUGACAGUAUCGUACGAAUAAGGCUCGGCUAACUCCGUGCCAGCAGCCGCGGUAAUUCGGAGGAUUCAAGCGUUAUCCGGAUUUAUUGGGGUUAAAGGGUGCGUAGGCGGUCGGGUAAGUUAGAGGUGAAAUCCCGAGGCUCAACUUCGGAAUUGCAUCUGAUACUGUUCGUCUAGAGAGUGGGUGCGGUAGGCGGAAUGUAUGGUGUAGCGGUGAAAUGCAUAGAGAUCAUACAGAACACCGAUUGCGAAGGCAGCUUACCAGGCUACAACUGACGUUGAGGCACGAAAGCGUGGGGAGCAAACAGGAUUAGAUACCCGGGUAGUC
Molecule: ribosomal RNA, 460 nt
Filed under: uncultured bacterium
Lineage: Bacteria
Description: partial 16S ribosomal RNA
Rfam family: Bacterial small subunit ribosomal RNA
Source: RNAcentral